AUGAACGCUGGCGGCGUGCCUAAUACAUGCAAGUCGAGCGAACAGAUGAGGAGCUUGCUCCUCUGACGUUAGCGGCGGACGGGUGAGUAACACGUGGAUAACCUACCUAUAAGACUGGGAUAACUUCGGGAAACCGGAGCUAAUACCGGAUAAUAUAUUGAACCGCAUGGUUCAAUAGUGAAAGACGGUUUUGCUGUCACUUAUAGAUGGAUCCGCGCCGCAUUAGCUAGUUGGUAAGGUAACGGCUUACCAAGGCAACGAUGCGUAGCCGACCUGAGAGGGGGAAGGGCAACGGAAGGGUUAAGACACGGAGGAGACGGGAAGGGGAGGCAGAAGGAGGGAAACGUCAGGAAUGGGCAAAGGCCUAAAGAAGCAACUAAGGAGGAGUAAUGAGGAUCUAGGGAGCGGAGAACGCUUUGAUGAGAGAAGGAAAAAGAGGUAAGUAAAGAGGCGCGUCAGCACGGUAGCAAAUAAAAAAGGCAGAGCUGAAUGCGAG
Molecule: ribosomal RNA, 496 nt
Filed under: uncultured bacterium
Lineage: Bacteria
Description: partial 16S ribosomal RNA
Rfam family: Bacterial small subunit ribosomal RNA (bases 16-377)
Source: RNAcentral